Molecule: ribosomal RNA, 253 nt
Filed under: uncultured bacterium
Lineage: Bacteria
Description: partial 16S ribosomal RNA
Rfam family: Bacterial small subunit ribosomal RNA
Source: RNAcentral
UACGGAGGGUGCGAGCGUUGUCCGGAAUCACUGGGCGUAAAGGGCGCGUAGGUGGCCUUCUAAGUCGAACGUGAAAUCCCUGGGCUCAACCCAGGAACUGCGUCCGAGACUGGGAGGCUUGAAUCCGGGAGAGGGAUGCGGAAUUCCAGGUGUAGCGGUGAAAUGCGUAGAUAUCUGGAGGAACACCGGUGGCGAAGGCGGCAUCCUGGACCGGUAUUGACACUGAGGCGCGAAAGCCAGGGGAGCAAACGGG